This 1027-nucleotide long non-coding RNA is filed under the name Ananas comosus (pineapple). RNAcentral's name for it is "long non-coding RNA (ACOM_LNC025573)". Lineage: Eukaryota; Viridiplantae; Streptophyta; Magnoliopsida; Poales; Bromeliaceae. The record is from RNAcentral.
UACACGACUUUUCUAAAUUUUGAGUUUAUUAUCCAACAUUUCAAUUUAUUUGAUUUGUGUCAGGCAACUGCACUUCGACUUCAAAAUUUAAACUGCCUGGUUAUUUAAUGAACUCAUAGUUGCGAGAAUUGUAUGAAACAUACUAACUAAACCUAUAAAAAUAAACGACGCAUUCAAAAUUUGAAGUCGUGUUGUUGAUUGAUUCAAAUUAAAAGAAUGGCAGUAGAAUCAUAAUUUUGAAAGAUUUAGUAGCCAAAUCAAAAUAGUUCAUAGUUCAGGUAAGUGUUUAUUAAUUUUUUUCCUUUUACGUACGUUGUGUAACUACCUCUUACUUGACAAAGUUUAAGCUGUAAGAUGAUGAUGAUGAUAUAGUAUUUUAUAUUCAACAAUGUAAAAUUUCAGAUAAUUUUGCAGAGGAAUAUACUUAUGCAUAUAUAUAGAAUAUGACUUGUGUGCUAUUAGGAACACGGAAGCCUCCAUGCUCUUACACCAUUUUCGAUGAUUAAACUUUCGAAUCGACGAUCAACUUCAUUAGACUUAAUCUAGCAUAUUUAAAGUAUAUAGAAAAUAAUUUUUGCGGUUUUUCGAUAUUAUUUACCUAGCGAUCGGAUGAGUUCAAAAUCAAUAACUUUUAAUGCUUAAUGUGUGCCGUUUGCAAAUUUAACAGCGUAAAAGCAUUCAAAUGAGAUGAAAUUUUGAUUGAAAAUUUUUUAUAGUACUAUAUAUCUAGUACAAGAAUAUUACAAUUUCUGAUCAAAAAUUUUGGUACUACUUUUUAUAAGAUUUUUAUUUUCAACUGUUGAUCAUUUUGAGUACGUAUUUUCGAUCACUAAGUACCUGAUAUCGAAAAACUACAAAAUUUAUUUUUCUAGAUCCUUCAAAUACGCUAGACCAAGUUUAACGAAGUCGUGGAUUCAGAAAUUACAUUAUCUAAAACAACUUAAGAAUACGAAAGCUUCCAUACUCUUAAUAGUACACAAGUCCUACUCUAUAUAUAUCACAGUCAGAAUUGCAUCAGAGGAAAAGG